This 253-nucleotide ribosomal RNA is filed under the name uncultured bacterium. RNAcentral describes it as "partial 16S ribosomal RNA". It matches the Rfam family "Bacterial small subunit ribosomal RNA", at positions 524 to 776 of the family's 1533-position model. The record is from RNAcentral.
UACGUAGGGUGCGAGCGUUAUUCGGAAUUACUGGGCGUAAAGCGUGCGCAGGCGGCUGUGUAAGACCGCUGUUAAAUCCCCGGGCUUAACCUGGGAACUGCAUUGGUGACUGCACGGCUAGAGUGUGUCAGAGGGGGGUAGAAUUCCACGUGUAGCAGUGAAAUGCGUAGAUAUGUGGAGGAAUACCGAUGGCGAAGGCAGCCCCCUGGGAUAACACUGACGCUCAUGCACGAAAGCGUGGGGAGCAAACAGG